This 409-nucleotide long non-coding RNA is filed under the name Vitis vinifera (wine grape). Its description in RNAcentral is "long non-coding RNA (VVIN_LNC007993)". The record is from RNAcentral. Lineage: Eukaryota; Viridiplantae; Streptophyta; Magnoliopsida; Vitales; Vitaceae.
ACACGAGUAUGUUUCCCAAGCUGACAUGACUCACACGAAAGCGACGACAAAGUGGAAAAAUAAGGGACCAUCUUCUGGAACUUGGAGAGAUUAGGGUGGCCCAAACGACUGUGAAUGAGGAGAGGAGCAUCAGUGGAAAUGCAAACUGUAGGAGAUGAAUCCGAGGUGAGGUGAUAGAGGCCUUGAGACUCACGUCCUAUGCCAAUCGUCUUCCCCGUACUCCGGUCCUGCAAGGUCACAAAUUUAUCAAAAAAGGUAAUAGAGUAAUUAAGAGUACGAGUGAUUUUGUUGAUGGAAAUAAGAUUAAAAGGACAUUCAGGAGUAUAAAGAACAGAAGUGAGAGGUAGAGAAGGCAGAGGAAGGGCCAAACCAAUACCUUUAGCUACAGUUUGAGAACCAUUAGUUAAGG